AAUAGAUACCCUGGUAGUCCACGCCGUAAACGAUGAGUGCUAAGUGUUAGAGGGUUUCCGCCCUUUAGUGCUGAAGUUAACGCAUUAAGCACUCCGCCUGGGGAGUACGGUCGCAAGACUGAAACUCAAAGGAAUUGACGGGGGCCCGCACAAGCGGUGGAGCAUGUGGUUUAAUUCGAAGCAACGCGAAGAACCUUACCAGGUCUUGACAUCCUCUGACAACCCUAGAGAUAGGGCUCUCCCUUCGGGGACAGAGUGACAGGUGGUGCAUGGUUGUCGUCAGCUCGUGUCGUGAGAUGUUGGGUUAAGUCCCGCAACGAGCGCAACCCUUGAUCUUAGUUGCCAGCAUUUAGUUGGGCACUCUAAGGUGACUGCCGGUGACAAACCGGAGGAAGGUGGGGAUGACGUCAAAUCAUCAUGCCCCUUAUGACCUGGGCUACACACGUGCUACAAUGGACGGUACAAAGAGUCGCGAGACCGCGAGGUGGAGCUAAUCUCAUAAAACCGUUCUCAGUUCGGAUUGUAGGCUGCAACUCG
RNAcentral lists this ribosomal RNA (537 nucleotides) under uncultured bacterium. Its description in RNAcentral is "bacterial SSU rRNA". It matches the Rfam family "Bacterial small subunit ribosomal RNA", at positions 777 to 1314 of the family's 1533-position model. The record is from RNAcentral.